RNAcentral lists this ribosomal RNA (269 nucleotides) under Staphylococcus kloosii. Its description in RNAcentral is "partial 16S ribosomal RNA". It matches the Rfam family "Bacterial small subunit ribosomal RNA", at positions 1 to 259 of the family's 1533-position model. Lineage: Bacteria; Bacillati; Bacillota; Bacilli; Caryophanales; Staphylococcaceae. The record is from RNAcentral.
UUUAUGGAGAGUUUGAUCCUGGCUCAGGAUGAACGCUGGCGGCGUGCCUAAUACAUGCAAGUCGAGCGAACAGAUAAGGAGCUUGCUCCUUUGACGUUAGCGGCGGACGGGUGAGUAACACGUGGGUAACCUACCUAUAAGACUGGAAUAACUUCGGGAAACCGAAGCUAAUGCCGGAUAACAUGUAGAACCGCAUGGUUCUACAGUGAAAGAUGGCCUUGCUAUCACUUAUAGAUGGACCCGCGCCGUAUUAGCUAGUUGGUAAGGUA